UACAGAGGUGGCAAGCGUUGUUCGGAAUUACUGGGCGUAAAGGGCGCGUAGGCGGCCUUCUAAGUCGAACGUGAAAUCCCCGGGCUCAACCCGGGAACUGCGUCCGAUACUGGAAGGCUUGAAUCCGGGAGAGGGAUGCGGAAUUCCUGGUGUAGCGGUGAAAUGCGUAGAUAUCAGGAGGAACACCGGUGGCGAAGGCGGGUCUCUGGGCCGAUACUGACGCUGAGGAGCGAAAGCGUGGGGAGCGAACAGG
This 253-nucleotide ribosomal RNA is filed under the name uncultured bacterium. Its description in RNAcentral is "partial 16S ribosomal RNA". It matches the Rfam family "Bacterial small subunit ribosomal RNA", at positions 524 to 776 of the family's 1533-position model. The record is from RNAcentral.